ACUCUUGUUUGCUAUGUGAUAUGAUUCUUAAGAUAUUCCUACCCCUCAGCACUACUUCCUACAGCUGCAAGAGCUGCUGUACCAGGAAGAUCAAAUUGCCGGAUCACAGUUUAGUCUGGCAAGGAUUCAGAGGAUGCUGUCAAGAAAAAUUCGAACAAUCAACUUGGAAAAUGAGGUAAUCUCAAGCCAAAGCAAUCAUCAGAAAAUGAGGAUGGGGAAGAGUUUGCAGUUCUGGAAUGCUCAAGAGCUACAAUAAAUAGUUUAAGAAAUUUAAUUAAAAACUACUGGAAUAUUUUUCUCAUGUCAUCCAA
RNAcentral lists this long non-coding RNA (311 nucleotides) under Cricetulus griseus (Chinese hamster). RNAcentral describes it as "lncRNA (ENSCGRG00000025738.1)". Lineage: Eukaryota; Metazoa; Chordata; Mammalia; Rodentia; Cricetidae. The record is from RNAcentral.